Molecule: non-coding RNA, 2692 nt
Organism: Tetranychus urticae (two-spotted spider mite)
Lineage: Eukaryota; Metazoa; Arthropoda; Arachnida; Trombidiformes; Tetranychidae
Source: RefSeq, a predicted model, not a curated record
UUUUUGUGGCAAGUCAGUGUUUUCAUAAUGUCUAAUUUUAAUAAUAAUUGUGGUCAACUAAUGAGUUUAUUGUUUUUUUGAUGAAUGGGUCAACGGGAUUUAGUCGGCUUCUAUUUAGCGUUUCAAAGCAACCUUGGCUUACCUGAACUCGGAUUUAUUAAUGUUAACUAAAUCAUCUUUAACAAUUUUUUAAAUCUUUGUCCAGUUAGCGUGUGAUUUUCGAUAUCACAUGAAAUCAUGAUAGUUUCGAAUCAACGACGUCAAUCAGAUUCGGUACAGCUUUUUAUUGUAAUCUAAUAAAACCCGGAUAAAUCAAUGGCGAGUUCAAGCAAACAUUUGCAGCAAACAUUUAAAAAUGGAGGCUCUUUUCACUGUAUUACAAUCAUUACCAUCUUUUAUGGACAAAUAGUACAAUUUAUUUUGUCAACUACAAUUUUCCGGUCUUUUGGCCAAGCAAUAAGCAAGAGCUUUUCAAAUAACCCAGCAUGCAACUAGGAAACCUGAUUUUCGAGCAAAGUUUGAAAUGAAAGUAACUAAACUGGAUUCCAUGACUGAUCAGCCAACCGGCAAAUACAUAGGUACAAGAAUCGGAUUAAAAUAUGAGUGAUUGUAAGAACCGGAAAGCUUAAAUUCAAUUGAAAAUGCAAUUCAACGAUCCAUGAUCAAGAUGAUGAUGUUGACAAAUAUUUCUCUUUCUCUUACCUUCAUCUUAACCAUUCUUUAAGAAAAAAACAUGUAACAAAUAAUCUUCUUGAUGCACCAUCAUCUUAAUCAUCAUCAUCACCAUAACCAAACCGUUUGGCUGGAAUCAACUCAAUUUCUCACAUUUAGUGGUUGAUUAUCAAAUGCUUGCAAUUGUAUGCAAACUCUGAGCAUUCUAUAUAUGUUUUGGUUACCAUGUUGUCCAUCAAGUUUAUUGAGAAAAAAAGGAAAUUAUUAAGAAAGAAAAAGAUUGCAUUUAAUUGUAAAGGAACUGUAAAAAAAUUUCUUCCGGCAACCAUUUCAUACUUAUCUUUUCAUCAGGUAGAAAAAAGAAACUUGUAUUCACUCGAUUUAGGAUUACUGUUGUGGUCAACAGUUGUAAAAAUUGUGCUUUAUUCGGUGACUAAUUGGGAGCAAAUUAUAAUUGUUGUCUUAUUGUUGAACCAAAUGGGAGACUAAUUGGACAAUUGAGCUUAUAGCUCAACUCGAUCAAAUAUCUGGCCACGGAAAAGAAGCAAGUUUGAUUACCAUGGACUAGUGUUGAUCGAAUGAAUAAUUUGAUUGUUCACUCAUUAUGAUGAGGAAUCUUCUCAAUGAAUACAUUUGAAUGGUAAUUGCAGUUGUAACGACUAUUGUGAUUUAAGUGUCAAUUUGUUACUACUAAUUGCUCAACAAUAUUAACUUUUGACCAAUCUUAAAUGUUGGUUGUCUAUUAAGUUUAAUGUUUUAAGUGUGUGUGUGUUAUGUUUGGUUGGAUAAACAUUUUUGGUUGAUCAAAUGUGACUUAUAUUGCACAUUCAGGUUUAACCUUUCCAAUUUAAAUAGCACACAUAAAUACACAUACUUAAAACACAAAAACGCAAGGAAAAAAGGACGCAAUUUUCAAAGGGAGUCUUUCUUUUUUUCAAGAUUGUUUGAGAUUGACAUAAAAAUUGUAUCAAAAUGUUUGCUUCUUUUUGUUGGAAGGAAGAGUUGACUCGUCAAAUUUUAAAUGUUGCCAUCAGCAUUCAUUGAACUGAAAAAUUUUCCUGUUUAAUCAUCUUCUUUAAUCAUCUAUUUCUAUUGAUGAAGACGAGGCAAAACAAGAAGAAGAAGAAGCCGAAGAAGGAAGGAGACAAAAAUCAAAGUUUUCAAGAUGAUUAUUAUGAUGAAGCGUGGCCUUCUGACUAAAGCUGAACGUGGUGAACGUAAAACGUUUCAUUGAUCAUCCUCAUCCUCAUCAUCAUUCAAAUAUCGGCUACAUUUGCAAGAAACCAAGUGAUGACUGAUGUUAAUGAUCGCACUUAAUUAACGUAAAAGUAAUUGGUUUGAUGAGGAACAGAUUAAACUAGUUGUCCAGUGAAAAGAGUUGAGCUGUUUAAAUCGGAACUGUAUCGAUAAUUGUUGAAACAAGAUUGAUCGCUAAAAAUAGCUGUUGGUUUCACAGAAGCACCCAAUUGUCGAUAUAAAUGCAUGUUGAAUCACAAAAGAGUCAACACGUUGAUUCACUUUUCCCAUGAUGCUGAUGAUGCUACAAAUGGAUAUAAUGAUGAUAAUCAAUAUUCAACCCAUCCCUUUAAUUUGCAUAUCAAUGGUCAAUUGGAUUGUUAUUGAACUUAACUUACCAAUCGUAAGAUAAUAACUGGAUAUAAUUCAAGAUAAUCAACGUUUUCAGCCUUUUUCAAUUGUAAAGGUCUUUUUGGGAACAAUGUACUAUUAUAUUUUGGCUUCGCUAAGUUGGACCAGUUAUGAGUUUCGAUUUUGGCAUUUGGUAAAAGAUGGCAAUUUUGGACUUACCGAUGGCUAAGAGGACUUUAAGCUUUGGAUUUUUCAAUUUGAGCUCAGUGGUUCUUUCGUAGAGACCCUUUUUUCCAGCCUUGGUUUCAUCGGUUGGAUCAUGGGCUGAAAUUUUGGACUUUUUAAGCCAACCAAAGGCAAAAAUAACGUGUGUACAAAUAUCUGGAUCAAUAUCUUCUGGAACAAAUUUACCCUGAUUGGGCCGGUAUUGAGA